UACGGGGGGGGCAAGCGUUGUUCGGAAUUACUGGGCGUAAAGGGCUCGUAGGCGGCCAACUAAGUCAGACGUGAAAUCCCUCGGCUUAACCGGGGAACUGCGUCUGAUACUGGAUGGCUUGAGUUUGGGAGAGGGAUGCGGAAUUCCAGGUGUAGCGGUGAAAUGCGUAGAUAUCUGGAGGAACACCGGUGGCGAAGGCGGCAUCCUGGACCAUGACUGACGCUGAGGAGCGAAAGCCAGGGGAGCAAACGGG
Molecule: ribosomal RNA, 253 nt
Filed under: uncultured bacterium
Lineage: Bacteria
Description: partial 16S ribosomal RNA
Rfam family: Bacterial small subunit ribosomal RNA
Source: RNAcentral